Long non-coding RNA from Gorilla gorilla gorilla (western lowland gorilla), 14077 nucleotides. RefSeq lists it as uncharacterized. The record is from RefSeq and is a predicted model, not a curated record. The transcript is spliced from 3 exons. Lineage: Eukaryota; Metazoa; Chordata; Mammalia; Primates; Hominidae.
GCCGGGGGCCGCGUGAGGCCGGCGGGACGGAGGGAGGCCGGCGGGGAGGGAAAGCACCGGGCCCGCAGCCGCCCGGGGCACCCCGGUCCCCGCUCUGCUGCCGGCCUGGGGGGCCCGGGACCCUCACGUCGCCCGCGGCCCAGCCCCUUUCGGGGGUGCAAGGCAUGGGGGAAACUUGGGUGACUCAGUUCCUGCGGAGCAGAGCGUGGGGGGCCGCGUGCCCAGCCCUGGGGUUUUGGAGGGUCGGGUCGGGUCAGAGCCGCCGUGAGGAGGCCUUCCUGUUUUGGGCUUCCCGUCUGUAAAAACAACCUUCCAGGGAAGGGGACGCUAGAGAUGGGGGGCGGGAAGAGGGGUGUCUCUCUGCUUCUGUUUUCCCAUGUUUUUUGUGGUUAGGGUCCCCCUUUUUCACGAAAAAUACUCCGUGACCAACGGGGUGAGCUGGGGAGGGGCUUAGAUUGUAGAAAGGGACUUUCAUUGUCUCCCCAAAGUUGUACAAGCCACGUUACUCUUCUGUGGUUACCUAGCUUUGUUUUUUUUGUUCUUUCUACUUAAAUACUGCGGGGGAAGUUUGGUGGAACCAGGGAAGAAGGGGGAUGUUCACCCUUGAUGUGCCCUACCUGACCCUCGGCUCGGGGCAGACUUGGGGUGCAGCUGAGGACGCCCAGGACCCUGGUAGCUGUGGUCCUGCCCUCCCUUCCCUGCAACACGUGGAGCUCUGCAGAUUCUGCAAGGCCCCUGGGCUCAAGCGAUCCUCCUGCCUCGGCCUCUCAAAGUGCUGGGAUUACAGGCGUGAGCCACCAUGCCCAGCCGAAAAUGGCUUUCUUGAGAGAUCAGCUUUGAAGCUCUGCUCCUUCAUUUUAAAGUGCCCCAGGAGAAGUGGACGAUUACAAAGAGAUGUGGUUUCACUAUGUUGCCCAGUUCGGUCUUGAACUCCUGAGCUCAAGCGGUCUCCCAGAGUGCUGGGAUUACAGGAUUGCAUCUGGCUUCAAGAAACAGCGCUACUUCAGCAGCCUAAGCAGAAAGGUAUUUAUUUGUUUAUUUUUUACAUGUCAGGAAUUCCAGUACCCCUUGGAGUUGCUGGCAUUGGAUUAGUGAUGCAGGGUUGUUAGGACUGACAUCUCUGCUGUUUUCAUUGUCUUUUCCUCAAGGCCCCUAAAUGGCUGCUACAGCCCUAGCCAAUAUAUCUGGGUUCAAGGUAGGAAGAGGGAAGGAUUGCACCAGCCUCAUGGGUUCCUUUCUAUUCAGGAAAGUCCAAGCCUUCUUCAAAGGCUCUUCUGUCCACAUAGCAGACUUCUGGUCAUGUCUCCUUGGCUGAAACUGGAUUACAUGACCACCUCUAGCUGCAAGGGAGGCAGGAAAAAUGAGCAUUUGGUUUUAUGCUUCUCUAGGAGGAAACAGCAAGGGAGAAACUUUUGAGUAAGCCAGCCAAUAUUGUCCAACAUGUACUUAUUUUUUAACUUUUUUUUUUUUUUUGAGACAAGGUCUGGCUGGCUCUGUUGCCCAGGCUAGAGUGUGGUGGCACAAUCUCAGCUCGCUGCAACCUCUACCUCCUAGGCUGAAGCUAUCCUCCCACCUUAGCCUCCAGAGUAGCUGGGACUACCACAUGCACCACCAUACCUGGCUAAUUUUUAUGUUUGUAGAGAUGGGGUCUCACCAUGUUGUCCAGGCUGCUCUUGAACUUGUGAGUUCAAGCCAUCUGCCCACCUCAGCCUCCCAAAGUGCUGGGAUGACAGGCAUGAGCCAUCGUACUCAGCUAAUGUUUUUCUUUCAAUCAAUUCACUUUUUAAGCCUUAACAAAGUUAUUGCAAAAGGAAGUUUCAUAUCACUUUAGAAUGUCUUUGAAGUCACAGGUUGGUUAUAUUUAUGUGCUUACUUUAAUAGCUAUUAAAGUAAAUAUAGCACUACUAAGAAAAAAAGAUAUUCUUUAAAUCGCCUAUUAUCAGUGGUUCUUAACUCUGGAUGAUUUUGUCUCCAGGGGACAUUUGGCAAUGUCUGGAAACAUUUUUGGCUGUCGCGAUGGGGCAGGGAGUGCAUGCCUAGAGUCUAGUGGGUAGAGGCCAGGGGGUGUGCUAAAUAUCCUGCAAUACAGGAUGGGCUCCAUAAUGAAAAAUCCUCUGGUCCCAAAUGUCAGUAGUACUGCAGUUGAGAAACCCUGGCAUGGACGCAAUCCACCUGCUGCCAGGAGUUAUAUACAAGCCAUGUUAGGGUAAUGCUGCAAUAUGUCCAUCGUGAUUGUGUUUUCUCCUGGGUGACUAUCAGCAACGCUGUAGCCUGCUUGUUGGUUUUCAAGGUCCAUUCUCAAGAUACUAUCAGAUCUCCAGCAAUCGUGUGAUGCAGUUUGAAAUGUUCAUGUGAGCUGGGCGUGGUAACUCAUGCCUGUAAUCCCAGCACUUUGAGAGGCCAAGGCUGGAGAAUGGCUUGAGCCCAGGAGUUUGAAACCAGCCUGGGCAACAUAGCGAGACCCAGUCUCUACACAAAAUUAAAAAAAAAAAAAAUUAGCCAGGUAUGAUGGUGCAUGGCCAUGGUCACAGCUACUCAGGAGGCAGAGGUGGGAUGAUCACCUGGGCCUGGGAGGUUGAGGCUGCGGUGAGCCACGAUUGCACCACCGUAUUCCAGCUUGGGCGACAGAGCGAGACCCUGUCUCAAAAAAAAGAAUGUGCAUAUGAAUUCAAGAUAUGUCCCUUAUAGAGACUGGUGAGGACACAGCUUACUGACUCUGAAGCUGAAGUGGUUGAAUUGAUAGCCCUCUUGCCGGGCAAAUCCUAUGUGAGUGCUUCUAAAAGAACACUGUGCCUUGCAGAGAGUAUUCCUGGGACCUGGCAGGAAUCAGGGCCUCUUGGUGACCACAUGCUUUGGAAAGGGCUGUGCUUUGGCAAGUGGGAGAUUUUAUUAUUUAUUUUCUCCUGUCUGCCUCAGUUUGGCAAAAACAAACCUGGCCUGGGCAUGGGCCUUGUGGAGACAAGAAGGCAGCUUGAGAUUAUCAGAGAUCAGGCUGCUGGUGGGUUUGCCUGAGCUGGCCUGGUCAGGUAGCUUGACAAUGAUGCUCACCCCCCAUUAAAGUUAAUUGAGCUGUUACAGAGUGGGAGUGGGGAGUGGGGGGUGUGAUGACUGCCUGUCUCCUUGAGUUGGCGUGGCUAAGAAGUAAGGGAAUUUUUUAACUUUUCCUUCUUAAUUCUGGAAACUUAGAAAAAAGCCUCUCACCAUCCCUUAAUCAUUCAGUUAUAGAGACCAGGCUGUUGAUAUGGACAUGCUGCAUUUCAUGGGAUCCUAGAGGCCAGCAUUUGUGACAUACAUCCCAGUUUCAGAGAUGUUAGGAUAUAAAAAUGUAGCCAGCAGUGUUUAUAGGAUGGGCUAAUCGAGAGACACAGAGAAAUAUCAAAGAUAGCAAAAUAGGAAGAAACAGAGUCUUAGAAUCAAUGCAGUAUAAUAAUAGCUUCUAGUUUCUUUCUGUUUUUCUUUUUUUUGAUACAGAGUCUCACUGUCGCCCAGGCUGGACUGUGGUGGCAUGAUCUCGGCUCACUGUAGCCUCCGUCUCCUGGGUUCAAGUGAUCCUCCCAUCUCAGCCUCCAAGUCACUGGGAUUACAAGUUGUUUGCCACCAUGCCCAGCUAAUUUUUGUAUUUUUAAUAGAGACAGGGUUUCACCAUGUUGGCCAGGUUGGUCUCGAAUGCCUGACCUCAAGUGAUCCCCCCUGCCUUGGCUUCCCAAAGUACUGGGAUGACAGGUGUGAGCCACCAUGCCCAGCCGCCCCCUCACUCUUAAGCGCAGCUCUUCGGCAGUCAGAGAUGUUGCCUGCUGUAUUUCUUGUUCUGCUUUUACACAUGGUUUAAAAAUCCUCGCCCAAGAAUGUAAGCCCCAUGGCCAGUGCUACCUGCCACCUUUAGGGGUGGCCUCUCCUGGGGUGCAGGAGGUUGCACAGUUCGUUUUGUGACAGCAGGGUCAUUUUUUAAUCGGAUCAUCUGCCCCAGUUUGCUUGGCUCUUAGGUGCUUGGGAGUUCUCCUGGUUUUUUGCUGUUGUGAAAUGGCCCAGCUUGUACACGUUGUUCCUUUUCUUGCUGGAGUUAUUUCCUUUAGACUCCUGUCCGUAAAGUAGGAUUGUUGGGUGAAAGUGGGGUAUGCGUGGUUAGGCUUUUCUCUGCCUGCUUUCUGGGUUGCUCUUCAGAUAGAUUUAAUCACCUUUUAUUUGUGUUUUGUGGUGGUUUUUGUUUGUUUGUUUGUUUGUUUUUUUGUUUUGAGACUGAGUUUUGGUCUCGUUGUGCAGGCUGGAGUGCAAUGGUGGGAUCUCGGCUCACAGCAACCUCUGCCUCCUGGGUUCAAAUGAUUCUCCUUCCUCAGCUUCCCGAGUAGCUGGGAUUACAGGCAUGCGCCACCAUCUCUGGCUAAUUUUGAAUUUUUAUUACAGACGGGGUUUCUCCAUGUUGGUCAGGCUGGUCUGGAACUCCCAACCUCAGGUGAUCUGCCCGCCUCAGCCUCCCAAGGUGCUGGGAUUACAGGCGUGAGCCACCACACCUGGCCACCUUUUAUUUGUUGAAUGAGUAUUUAAUAAGCGUGUCCUAUAUGCGUCAGGAGAAUUAAAUGGACAUGGUCUUGCUUUGGGGGAAAUGACAGGUAGGAGAGAAAGAGACACUUAGAACUCAACAGAGGCCAGGCGCGGUGGCUUACGCCUGUUAUCCCAGCACUUUGGGAGGCUGAGGUGGGCGGAUCACCUGAGAUCAGGAGUUCGAGACCAGCCUGGCCAAAAUGGUGAAAUCCCGUCUCUACUAAAAUAUAAAAUCAAUCAGGCGUGGUGAUGGCACAUGCCUGUGAUCCCAGCUACUCGGGAGGCUGAGGCAGGAGAAUUGCUUGAACCGGGGAGGCAGACAUUGCAGUGAGCCGAGAUUGCACUACUGCACUCCAGCCUGGGCAACAAGAGCAAAACUCUGUCUCAAAAAAAAAAAAAAGAAAAAACUCAACGGAGAAAACGGAUCAUUAAGGCUUCUUUGGCACUUCCUAAGUGCCAGGGACUGUUGUUAAUGCCUUUGAAGUGCUAAUAAUGACUUAAUGGUGACAAGUUUCCUGUGAAGCAGGGACUGUGAUUGUUUCUACCUUAUGGGUGGGGAAAGGAGGCAGAGAGAGGUGAAGUCACCCAGCUAGUAAAUGACAGGACUAGACUGAAACCCAGGCUGUCUGUCUCCAGGGCCUGGCCGGUACCUCAUGCUCCAUCUUGCCCCAUAAACACCCUGGGGUGGGCCAGAGAGGAGUCUUUUCCAACAGGCUGUGCCAGAUGACUUUGGCUAAUCUUGGAGGCUGGAGGAUUAGUCAGUCUACUAAGGGGGCUUCAGCAUUUUGGCACGUGGCUUUAUGAGCUGUUUACUCCAACAGUGAUGAUGACAAUAGUCAUAGUAGUGAUAAUACUAUGGUAGAAGUAACUGCAGCAAACUCAACCCCUAACGAGUAUUCUAUCUUCCCAACAUUGUGUGCAAUAGCCAUGAGAGAUGGGUGUUAUUCUUUUAAUUUGACACACGGGAACUGAAAGCCAGAGAGAUUGGGUGGCUUCCCCCAGGCCACACAGCCUGGAAGUAGUAGGACAGGGACGCGAGCCCAGAUCUGCUGCCCCAGAGCCUGUGCCCUUGACCACCAAGUCAUGGUCACUGCUUUCAACCCUGCCUGCCCCUGGGCCAUCUGUGUUGUGAUGCUGGCUGGCCAGGAUGGGGAGUGAGGAUUUCAGUUUGUCAUAGGGCAGGGAGAUGGGUGAGGCAGGACACUCCUUGAGAUGGAAGGCUCUGGGGUGGGGGGAGAGGGAGUGGUGGAGACUGGGGUGUCUCCGAAGGAGUGUUUGAAGAUGACAGUGGUUUUUCCAGUUUCCUGUUCUUAGCUAUAUUCAAGAAAAGGGUAAGCCAGAAAAUUUCCCUCUUGAGUUUCGCAACUUCUGGGAGCUUUUGCAAAGUCUGGGUGAUGCAGCAUUUUCCUGGUUUGAAUCCUAAGUGAAGUUUCAUUUUCCUUCACUUAACUCAUUCUGGCUCUGGCCUGUCUUCCCAGCUGUAUUGGCCAUCUGGUCCUCUUCUGGCUCUUUGUCCCAUUUAUUAUUAUUUAUUUUUAUUUUUAAUAGAGCUGGGGUCUCACUGUGUUGCCGUCUGUUCUGGAACUCCUGGACCCAAGUGAUCCUCCUGCCUCGGUCUCCCAAAAUACUGGGAUUAUAGGCAUGAGCCUCUGUGGCCAGCUUAUACCCCCUAAGCUUGUGACUAUCUUCUAUGUGUGUCCCUCUUGGAGUGAGGUUCCCUCCUGUCUCCAUGUUGGCAAAUCUUAGCACCUUGGCCCUUCGAGAUGGGGGUCUGUGUUGCCUAGGCUGGUCCUGAACUCCUGGUCUCAAGUGAUCCUCCCAUCUUGGCCUUCCAGAGUGCUGGGAUUACAGGUGUGAGCCACUGUGUCCAGCCAACCCUUCUUAGAUUUUACUUACUUCAAGAAGCCUGCUUUGACCUCUCAAGUGCAAAUAACAACUUCUAGGAAUAGAGUGAUCACUGGGCAUCCAUCUGUUGUCACAUGAAUGAUUUUAUCCAUAUUAAGGAGGCAGUACAUGCAGCAGUGAGCUAACCUGCCUGUGUUGAAGUUUUCUUCUUUUUACAGGCUGUACAACCUUGGGCACGUUGCUUUACUUCUCUGUGCCUUAGUCUCUUCCUCAGCAAAAUGGAAAAAAUACUACCCAUUUCAAAUGGGGUGAAAAUGAAAUAAUAUAUAAGUCUCGUCUUCACAAUGUCUCUGAUGAAAAGCAGGUAUUGGUUGCACAUGGUGCUCAUGCCUGUAAUCCCAGCACUUUGGGAGGCGGAGCAGGGAGGAUUGCUUGAGGCCAGGAGCUUGAGACCAGCCUGGGGAACAUGGCCAGACCACAUCUCUUAAAAAAAAUUUAGCUAGGUUUGGUGCCAUGCACUUGUGUUUCUAACUAGUUUGGAGCAGGUGAGGUGGGAGGAUCUCCUGAGCUCAGGAGGUUGAGGCUGCAGUGAGCUGUGAUUGCACACGACUGCUUUCCAGCCUGGGCAACAGAGUGAAACCCCAUCUUAAACAAACAAACAAAUAAACAAAAAACAGGUUUUGUCCUUGCUGUAUGAAUGAGGAAAGUGAGUUUUCCUUUUUGCUUUGUGAAACUCUUUUCUGGAUAUUUCUUGCCUUUUAUGUGUAUCUCUUUGGUGGUACUCUGUGCUUUUAAAAUCUUUUGUAAUGGCCAUUUAUGGACAAAUCGUACCUUAUAUUCAAGAUUCUAAGCUUUUUGAGGGCAGGAUAUAAAUGUGGUUGUUUCUGGUUCAAGUCCUGAUACAAGCAAAGCUCAGUAAUUUUUUUAAAUGAAUGGGUGGGCCGGUGGUUGGGUCUUCAGAGUCACUAAGUAUUGGUGGCAGGAGUGGGACCACAUAGAAAAAGAUAUUAAGGCAGUGGAUCUCAGUGGGGAGUGAUCUGCCUCUCAGAGGAUGUUCAGUGAUGUCUAGAGACAUUUUUGUUGUCACAGUUUGGGAUGGGGGUGCAGUUGGUGUCUAUUGGGUUGGGAUCAGGAAUGCUAUAAACGUCCUGUGAUACACAGGACAGACGUAUCCAGCCUAAAACGUCAGUAGUGUUGAGGGUGAGAAACCCUGGGCUUAUUAAGGCAACAAGCAACAUAUUAAUAGCAACAGGAAAAAACAUGCAUUUAAAUUUUUUUUGGCCAGGUGUGGUGGCUCACACCCAUAGUCCCAGCACUUCGGGAGGCCGAGGUGGGCGGAUCAUGAGGUCAAGACAUCGAGACCAUCCUGGUGAACAUGGUGAAACCCCAUCUCUACUAAAAAUACAAAAAGUAGUCUGGUGUGGUGGUGUGUGCCUGUAGUCCCAGCUACUUGGGAGGCUGAGGCAGGAAAAUCACUUUAACCUGGGAGGCGGAGGUUGCAGUGAGCUGAGAUUGCACUACUGCACUCCAGCCUGGAGACAGAGCAAGACUCUGUCUCAAACAAACAAACAAAAAAAACAAUUUUUUUUUUUUCACAAAUGCGAAGUAGUCUAGAUGAGAUACGCUCUUCCUGAGAUGAUAAAGUGAGGUCUAAGUGUAUUUAUUAAUUCUUUUGAGGAGGGUGUUAGGUGCUAAAGGCAGCACGUGUAAGGUGAAAAUUGCGUAUAGCCAAAAUGACCCUGGGGCUUAUUCUCUCUCUCUCUCUUUUUUAAUAAACAGCUUUGUUGAGAUAUAAUUCACAUACCAUAUGAUGCACCUAUAAAGUGUGCAACUCAGUUUAGUACAUUCAGAAUUGUGCAUGUCUUCUGUCUCCAGGUAGGCAAAUCUUAGCACCUCGGCCCUUCUUAGAUUUUAUUUUUUAGAGAUGGGGGUCUCACUAUGUUGCCCAGGCUGGUCUUGAACUUCUUGGCCUUCCUCCCAUCUUGGCCUUCCAGAGUGACUAUAUUCAAUAUUCAAAGUGACUGUAGUCAACAUUAGAUAUUUUUAUCACCCUACUUACUUGUUUUUAUUUAAGACCUGGUGUGGUGUGUGCCUGGCCUUGUGAUCACAAAUGCUAGUUACACUGAAUUGACAUUUUGCUGAGACUCGUUCUGAGGUCCAUUCAUAGAUGCCCUAGGUACUUCCUGAUUACUUGCCACACCCCAGGAAUUCUGCACAGUGAGUGGGGAGUGACAUUUUGAGGGACAGCAACAGUACAUUCACUGCGCUAAAGAAACAGUCUGGGGAGAGCGAGACAUUGAAAAAAUAACAUAUAAAAUAAACAUCUGAUGGAGACAUAGGAAGAUGCCAACCUUCAACAAUGUUUGACUUGGAGCAGGGGUUGGCAUGCUUUUUCUGUGAAGGGUUAGGUAGUACAUAUUUUAGGUCUCUCAGGCCCAGGGGCAAAUAGUCUUUCUUAUAAUAUGUAUUUAAAAAUUGGCCAGGCAUGGUGGCUUCUGCCUGUAAUCUCAGCACUUUGAGAGGCCAAGGUGGGAAGAUUGCUUGAGCCCAGGAGUUCGAGACCAGCCUCAGCAACAAAGUGAGACUCUGUUUGUAUUAGUCUGUUCUCACGCUGCUAUAAAGAACUGCCCAACACUAGGUAGUUUAUAAGGGAAAGAGGUUUAAUUGACUCACAAUUCCACAGGGCUGGGGAGACCUCAGGAAACUUACACUCACAGCAGAAAGGGAAGCAAACAUGUCCUUCUUCACAUGGUGGCAGGAAGGAGAAGUGCUGAGCAAAAGGGGAAAAGCCCUUUAUCAAACCAUCAGAUCUCGUGAGAACUCACUAUAAUGAGAACAGCAUGGAGGUAACUGCCCCCCAUGAUUGAAUUGUCUCUCACCGGGUUCCUCCCACAACACAUGGGGAUUAUGAGAACUACAAUUCAAGAUAAGAUUUGGGUGGGGAUACAGCUGAACCGUAUAAUUCCAUGGGCAAAUGAUAUCGUUCUGCCCCUCCCAAAUCUCAUGUCCUCACAUUUCAAAACACAAUCAUGCCUUUCCAAGUGUCACCCAGAGUCUUAGCUCAUUCCAGCAUUAACCCAAAAGUCCAAUUCCAAAGUCUCAUCUGAGACAAGGCAAGUCCCUUCUGCCUAUUAGCCUGUAAAAUUGAAAGCAAGUUAGUUACUUCCUAGAUACAAUAGGAGUACAAGCAUUGGGUAAAUACACCCAUUCCAAAUGGGAAAAUUUGGCCAAAAUGAAGGGGCUACAGGCCCCAUGCAAGUCUGAAAUCCAGUGGGGCAGUCAUUUCUUAAAGCUCUGAAAUGAUCUCCUUUGACUCCAUGUCUCACAUCCAGGUCAUGCUUAUGCGAGAGGUGGGCUCUAGCUAUGGCCUUGGGCAGCUCUGCCCCUGUGGCUUUGCAGGGUACAGCCCCCAUCAAGGGGCUUUCACGGGUUUGUGUUGUGAGUCUGUGGCUUUUCCAGGUGCACGGUGCAAGCUGUCCAUGGAUCUACCAUUCUGGAGUCUGGAGGAUGGUGGCCCUCUUCUCACAGCUCCACUAGGCAGUGUCCCAGUGGGGACUGUAUGGGGGCUCUGGCCCCACAUUUGCCUUCUGCACUGCCCUAGCAGAGGUUCUCCAUGAGGGCUCCACUGCUGCAGCAAACUUCUGCCUGGACACCCAGGCAUUUCCAUGCAUCCUCUGAAAUCUAGGUGGAGGUUCCCAAACCUUGAUUCUUGACUUUUGUCCACAGGCUCAAUACCACAUGGAAUCUCCUAAGGCUUUUGGGGCUUGCACCCUCUGAAGGCACAGCCCGAGCAGCAUUUUGGCCCCUUUUAGCCAUGGUUGAAGCAACUGGAACAAAGUGUACCAACUCCCUAGGCAGCACACAGCAGGGGGGCCCUGGGUCUGGCCUAUGGAAUCAUUUUUUCCUCCUAGACCUCUAGGCCUGUGAUGGGAGGGGCUACUGCAAAGGUCUCUGACAUGCCCUGGAGACAUUUUCCCCAUUGUCUUGGUGAUUAACAUUUGGUUCCAUUUUACUUAUGCAAAUUUCUGCAGCAGGCUUGAAUUUUUCCCCAGAAAAUGGGUUUUUCUUUUCCGUCACAUCAUCACCCUUCCAGUGCUUCAAACUUUUAUGCUCUGCUUCCUCUUAAACACUUUGUUGCUUAGAAAUUUCUUCUGACAAUCAUCUAAAUCAUCUCUCUCAAGUUCUAAGUUCCACAGAUCUUUAGGGCAAAGGCAAAAUGCUGCCACUCUUUUUGCUUAAGCAUAGCAAGAGUCACCUUUGCUCCAUUUCCCAAGAAGUUCCUCAUCUCCAUCUGAGACCACCUCAGCCUGGACUUCAUUGUCCAUAUCACUAUCAGCAUUUUGGUUAAAGUCAUUCAAUAAGUCCCUAGGAAGUUCCAAACUUUCUUACAUCUUCCUAUACUCUUCUGAGCCCUCCAAACUGUUCCAGCCUCUGCCUGAUACUCAGUUCCAAAGUUGCUUCCACAUUUUUGGGUAUCUUUACAGUAGCACCCCACUCCCAGUACCAAUUUACUGUAUUAGUUUGUUCUCACGCUGCUAUAAAGAACUGCCCAAGACUGGGUAGUUUAUAAAGGGAAGAGAUUUAAUUGGCCCACAGUUCUGCAGGGCUGGGGAGGCCUCAGGAAGCUUGUAAUCAUGGUAGAAGGGGAAGCAAACACGUCCUUCUUCACAUGGUGGCAGGAAGGAGAAGUGCUGAGCAAAAGUGCUUCUUUUGCUGAGAAGUGUGGAGCAAAAUCAGAUCUUGUGAAACUUCACUGUCACAAGAACAGCAUGGAGGUAACCACCCCCAUGAUUCAGUUACCUCCCACUGGGUUUCUUCCAUGACAUGUGAGGAUUAUGGGAACUACAGUUCAAAAUGAGAUUUGGGUGGGGACACAGCCAAGCCAUAUCACUGUCUCUACCAAAAAAAAAAAAAGCCAGGUGUGGUGGCUCAUGCCUGUAUCCCAGCUACUCAUGAGGCUGAGAUGGGAGGAUUGCUUAAGUCCAGGAGGUUGAGACUGCGGUCAGCUAUGACCACACCACUGCACUCCAGUCUGGGCAACAGAGUGAGAUCCUGUCAAAAAAAAAAAAAAAAAAAAAAAAGGAAAUCCAUUUUUAGCCUGUGUGCUGUACAAAAGCAGGCAGCAGGCUGAAUUUGGCCCACAGGCUGUGGUUCGCCAACUCAUGACCUAUACAAAUGGCAAUUCGUAUGGUUCAUCCUCGCGAUAACUGUACAUGGUGUAUUAGAUACUAUAUAGCAUGUUUAUAUCAAAUGUCAUAUAAUGUAUAAGGUAACAUAUACAGCAUAAAAUAGUGUCUGAGAAAUACUUGAUGAAAAAAUCUGAUAAGUACUUAGCAGGCACAGUACAAAGUACCAUGAAGUUGUUAAAUGGGGGAUCAGGGUGUUUGAGAAAGGGGUGGGGAGAUAGGUGGGCCUCCCUCAAGAAGGAAUGUUUCAACUGAGAGCUGAAGGAUGCCCCUGCAUUGCAUGUCAGGGCAGUGAUGGGGAGAAAGCCUCCAGGUAGAGGGAACCCACUCUGCAAAGGCCCUGAGUCAUGAAGGGAUCCCUGGAACAGUGAGUUGCGGCUGAACCCACAGCUGCAGUUGUGGGGAUUGUGAUCCAUCCUGAGAGCUCUGAGAACCUGGAAUAGUUUUUAGCACAGUGUGACGGGACUGGGGCUGUGUUUUGAAGAUAUCCCCUGUCUGCAGUUGGGAGGGGAGUCAGGAAACCUAUUUGGAGGCUGGGGUUUUCACCCAGGUCAUGCAGAUAAGAUUUAUUAGGUGUGGAAUGAACUGAGCAAAUCACAUGUCUUCUAAUGGUACACCACACUUUUUUUUUUUUUUUUUUUUUGGUUUUGAGACAGUCUUGCUCUGUCUCCCAGUCUGGAGAGCAGUGGCAUGAUCAUGGCUCACUGCAGCCUUGACUUCCCAGGUUCAAGCAAUCCUCCUACCUCAGCUUCCGGAGUAGCUGGGACUACAGGUGCCCACUACCAUGCCUGGCUAAUUUUGGUAUUUUUAUUGGAGACGGGGUUUCAUCAUGUUGGCCAGGCUCCUCUCUAACUUCUGACCUGAAGUGAUUCGCCUGCCUCAGCCUCCCAAAGUACUGGGAUUACAGGUACAAGCCACCGCGCCUGGCCUUUAGUGAUAUUUUAAAGACUAAAUUCCCUUAGAGAUGCCUGGGUCUGCAUUUAUUGCUACUGUUCUGUUUCUCACUGUGUGUCUUGAGGUCAUCAAAAGUAACCUGGGCCUUUUCCCUUGUUUUCUGCCUCCUCUAGGCUUAUGAGCCAUUAAGCAAAGCCGGAUUGGUGUGUGGGUCAGGCUCUUCAUGUUUUCUUUAGCUUAAUAAGCAGUUUCUAAGGGAACUCAUUGUGUCAUUGUUUAGAAUAGCAAAAGAUGGGCAGCCUCCCAAGUGGCAAUCAGUAGGGGCUGGGUGAAUACAGUGGGUUCCACCCCUUCCGUGGUAGGGUGGGAUGCUUGCAGAAGGACAUAAGACGAGGAAGCCCUUUGUGCACAGAUGUGCGGCAGCCUCCAAGGUCCAGUUUUUAAGUGAAAAUGUGGAGAUCCACUUGGUAUAUUUGGUAUGUUACCUCUGUGUAAAAAAGCAGACAAGUAAGAAUUACGUAGUUGUAUUUGCUGUAUUUGUAAGAAAUUCCAGAGGGAUAAAUGAGAAACUAAAAGAGGCAAUUGCAUUUGGGCAGAGUAACUUUUUAUUGUUUACCUUGAUAUAUACUUUUUUUUUUUUUUGAGAUAGAGUCUCGCCCUGUCAACAGGCUGGAGUGCAGUGGCGUGAUCGUGGCUCACUGCAUCCUCCGCUUCCCAGGUUCAAGCGAUUCUCCUGCCUCAGCCUUCUGAGUAGCUGAGAUUACAGGUGUGUGUGCCACCAAGCUCAGCUAAUUUUUGGUAUCUUUAGUAGAGAUUGGGUUUCACCACGUUGGCUGGGCUGGUCUCGAACCCCUGACCUCGUGAUCUGCCCACCUUGGCCUCCCAAAGUGCUGAGAUUACAGGCUUGAGCCACCGCGCCCGGCCUAUAUGUGUAUUAUAUAAACAUAUGUACACGCAUGCAUACAUACACACACAUAUAUUUUUUAAAAAUUGAGUCAUGGCCAGGUGCAGUGUGGGUCACACCUGUAAUCCCAGCACUUUGGCAGGUGAAGGUGGGAGGAUUGCCUGAGCUCAGGAGUUUGAGACCAGCCUGGGCAACAUGGAGAAACCCCUUCUCUACAAAAAUCACAAAAAUUGGCCGGGCGUGGUGGCAUACACCUGUGGUCCCAGCUGCCUGGAAGGCUGAGGUGGGAAGAUUGCUUGAGCCUGGUAGGUAGAGGCCGCAGUGAUCCAUGAUCACGCCACUGCACUCCAGCCUGGGUGACAGAGUGAGACUCUGUCUUAAAGCAAAAACAAAGAGUCGUAUAUUUCCUAUUAAGGUGAAAUUUAAAAAAUAAAUUCCUAUAUUCCAUCAUCCCCAGCUUCUGCCAUUCUAAAGCAUUUUCCUAAGCAGCUCCACUGUGGAUGUAGCGGGUAUUUCAGAAAGGCAUUAGAAAUGCCCUGGGAGGGCAGAACCCGGGGCUUCACUGGAGGUGCUGUUGGGCUCGGUCUGAUGUCAAGGCAGGGGCAUGGCAAGGGUAUUGAGACGUGAACAAGCAUCACUCAGCAAGGUGACAUGUGUUCAUGCCUUGAUACCCUUGUUUCCCCACCAGCUCUAUUUUUGUUGCCUGCUC